This 250-nucleotide unclassified non-coding RNA is filed under the name plant metagenome. Its description in RNAcentral is "partial contains small subunit ribosomal RNA, internal transcribed spacer 1, and 5.8S ribosomal RNA". The stretch from base 207 to 250 matches the Rfam family "5.8S ribosomal RNA", at positions 1 to 44 of the family's 154-position model. The record is from RNAcentral.
GUAGGUGAACCUGCGGAAGGAUCAUUAAUGAGUUUGAUAUGGGGUUUUGAAGCUGGCCUUCCGAGGCAAGUGCUCACCCCUAUUCAUCCAAUUAACCCCUGUGCACCUUUGUAGCGGGUAAGAUCCGAAAGGGUCGAGCCAGCUGCAUAUUUCAUUACAUACAUUGUAGUUCUGAAUGUCUAUUGCAAUUAUAAUGCAUUAAAUACAACUUUCAACAACGGAUCUCUUGGCUCUCGCAUCGAUGAAGAAC